UGACCUUGUGCAAAAGUAUGUGUUUAUUUAAGAUGCAUGUGAGGGCAGUAGUGUUUCAGUGAUGGUAUUUUCAGGUUAUUAAUCCUAGUCUCCCUCUGUUCCCUGUUUGCAGGCGGUGAGUUGUGACGACAGCUGUCCUGAGACCAUUGAGUGCAGUCUGGAAUAUUCCAAAUGUGUGCCAGUUCCAUAAGAAAAAAGUUCCAAUCAAGAGUACACUCACCAGUGGGCUCAAUAGUCCAGGACAAAGUCGGUCUGUCCUUCUACUACUACAUGCUACUUGACUUUGUCUGGAAGCCAUGGAUGCUGCCCUCAACAUGCUAAACCCUCACAAAUAAACUGAUAUCAAGAAUUAACAUUGAUGGUGAUGAUGGAAAGGCCUUCAUAAGGUGCCCUCCAGCAACCCCAGCCUGGAGCCAGAGGCUGGUACUGCACAUCAGAUGGGGUAUGAUCUGUGCUAGGCAUCAGAAAGGUGGUCUACGCAAGAAGGCAAGAGCUUCUGCAGACAGUGUUGC
Long non-coding RNA from Sardina pilchardus (European sardine), 512 nucleotides. RefSeq lists it as uncharacterized. The transcript has 4 exons. The record is from RefSeq and is a predicted model, not a curated record. NCBI's taxonomy places the organism in Eukaryota, Metazoa, Chordata, Actinopteri, Clupeiformes, Clupeidae.